Molecule: ribosomal RNA, 393 nt
Filed under: uncultured bacterium
Lineage: Bacteria
Description: bacterial SSU rRNA
Rfam family: Bacterial small subunit ribosomal RNA
Source: RNAcentral
ACGAACGCUGGCGGCGUGCUUAACACAUGCAAGUCGAGCGGUAAGGCCUUUCGGGGUACGACGAGCGGCGAACGGGUGAGUAACACGUGGGUGACCUGCCCUCAGCUCUGGGAUAAGCCCGGGAAACUGGGUCUAAUACCGGAUAUGACUCCAUGACGCAUGUUGUGGGGUGGAAAGCCUUGUGCGGCUGAGGAUGGGCCCGCGGCCUAUCAGCUUGUUGGUGGGGUGAUGGCCUACCAAGGCGACGACGGGUAGCCGGCCUGAGAGGGCGACCGGCCACACUGGGACUGAGACACGGCCCAGACUCCUACGGGAGGCAGCAGUGGGGAAUCUUGCGCAAUGGGCGAAAGCCUGACGCAGCGACGCCGCGUGAGGGAUGACGGCCUGUGUAAC